Choloepus didactylus (southern two-toed sloth) is the source of this 442-nucleotide long non-coding RNA. RefSeq lists it as uncharacterized. The record is from RefSeq and is a predicted model, not a curated record. NCBI's taxonomy places the organism in Eukaryota, Metazoa, Chordata, Mammalia, Pilosa, Megalonychidae. The transcript has 2 exons.
UCCCCUUCAUGGCUGUAUAACCUGGCAGAAGCUCCAUAGUCUCCAUUUUCUUCUCUUUUAGGCCAGUUCACGUUCCUAAACUGGGCGUUAGAAUGAGAUGAUAUGAGGAUUCACGUAUGUCCCAGACAAGCUGUACCCCAAAUGUCAGAGAGAGGAGGAGAAGGGAGACUCUUCUAGCUACACUAGAAAAUGGGCAAAGGAUAUGAGCAGGAAUCUUCCCUGCAGAAAUAGACAAGUGCACAAGGAUACAAGAAUUUCUUUGGACCAUUAAGGCCAAAAAAUGGAGACCACCAAAAUGCCCCAAAUCAGGGAAGUGGUUGAAUAAUCAACUGAGUGCUCUUCUUAUGGAAUGUUAUUUAGUCAUUCAAAGGAACAAGAGUAGAUUACCUUGUAAUUACAAUGUAUUAUUGAAUAGGGAAAAAAUGAAAUUUCAAUUAAAAUA